GAGGCGAACCGGGGGAACUGAAACAUCUAAGUACCCCGAGGAAAAGAAAUCAACCGAGAUUCCGAAAGUAGCGGCGAGCGAAAUUGGACUAGCCCUUAAGCUUUACACGCGUUAGACGAACGGUCUGGAAAGUCCGACGAUACAGGGUGAUAGUCCCGUAGUUGACGACGUGUGUUCAGUGAAAUCGAGUAGGGCGGGACACGUGAUAUCCUGUCUGAAUAUGGGGGGACCAUCCUCCAAGGCUAAAUACUACUGACUGACCGAUAGUGAACCAGUACCGUGAGGGAAAGGCGAAAAGAACCCCUGUGAGGGGAGUGAAAUAGAACCUGAAACCGUGUACGUACAAGCAGUAGGAGCAGGCUUUGUCCUGUGACUGCGUACCUUUUGUAUAAUGGGUCAGCGACUUAUAUUCAGUGGCAAGGUUAACCAUCUAGGGGAGCCGUAGGGAAACCGAGUCUUAACUGGGCGUUCAGUCUCUGGAUAUAGACCCGAAACCAGGUGAUCUAGCCAUGGGCAGGUUGAAGGUUGAGUAACAUCAACUGGAGGACCGAACCGACUAAUGUUGAAAAAUUAGCGGAUGACUUGUGGCUAGGGGUGAAAGGCCAAUCAAACCUGGAGAUAGCUGGUUCUCCCCGAAAGCUAUUUAGGUAGCGCCUCGGACGAAUACUACUGGGGGUAGAGCACUGUUAAGGCUAGGGGGUCAUCCCGACUUACCAACCCUUUGCAAACUCCGAAUACCAGUAAGUACUAUCCGGGAGACACACGGCGGGUGCUAACGUCCGUCGUGGAGAGGGAAACAACCCAGACCGCCAGCUAAGGUCCCAAAUUACUACUAAGUGGGAAACGAUGUGGGAAGGCUCAGACAGCCAGGAUGUUGGCUUAGAAGCAGCCAUCAUUUAAAGAAAGCGUAAUAGCUCACUGGUCGAGUCGGCCUGCGCGGAAGAUGUAACGGGGCUAAGUAGUAAACCGAAGCUGCGGCAAUAUACUUUUGUAUAUUGGGUAGGGGAGCGUUCUGUAAGCGGUUGAAGGUGUGUGGUAACGCAUGCUGGAC
Molecule: ribosomal RNA, 1051 nt
Filed under: Vibrio parahaemolyticus
Lineage: Bacteria; Pseudomonadati; Pseudomonadota; Gammaproteobacteria; Vibrionales; Vibrionaceae
Description: partial 23S ribosomal RNA
Rfam family: Bacterial large subunit ribosomal RNA
Source: RNAcentral